This 229-nucleotide long non-coding RNA is filed under the name Brassica napus (rape). RNAcentral's name for it is "long non-coding RNA (BNAP_LNC005234)". The record is from RNAcentral. Lineage: Eukaryota; Viridiplantae; Streptophyta; Magnoliopsida; Brassicales; Brassicaceae.
CAAAGUUUUGUGGACCCAAAACUUGUCUUUUUGGAAUUGUAGUCUGAGCCUCCGCCCAUACCUCGCUCUCCACUUCUGCAUAUCUAAGUAUUUCCUGAGGAUUUCCAUCUCUAUUAUUGAAAACUUUAUUAUUUCUAUUUUUCCAAAUGUACCACAUAAUCUAUGGAAAAUUACUGAAAUCAUGCUCUUUUGGCAAUCUCCAGAAGAGAUAAUCCAUAUUGGUAAAUAC